This 460-nucleotide ribosomal RNA is filed under the name uncultured bacterium. RNAcentral's name for it is "partial 16S ribosomal RNA". It matches the Rfam family "Bacterial small subunit ribosomal RNA", at positions 338 to 795 of the family's 1533-position model. The record is from RNAcentral.
CCUACGGGUGGCAGCAGUGAGGAAUAUUGGUCAAUGGGCGCGAGCCUGAACCAGCCAAGUAGCGUGAAGGAUGACUGCCCUACGGGUUGUAAACUUCUUUUAUAUAGGAAUAAAGUGAGGCACGUGUGCCUUUUUGUAUGUACUUUAUGAAUAAGGAUCGGCUAACUCCGUGCCAGCAGCCGCGGUAAUACGGAGGAUCCGAGCGUUAUCCGGAUUUAUUGGGUUUAAAGGGAGCGUAGGUGGAUUGUUAAGUCAGUUGUGAAAGUUUGCGGCGCAACCGUAAAAUUGAAAUUGAUACUGGCAGCCUUGAGUACAGAAGAGGUAGGCGGAAUGCGUGGUGUAGCGGUGAAAUGCUUAGAUAUCACGAAGAACUCCGAUUGCGAAGGCAGCUUACUAAACUGCCACUGACAUUGAUGCUCGAAAGUGUGGGUAUCAAACAGGAUUAGAUACCCGUGUAGUC